UGGUGGAGUGAUUUGUCUGCUUUAUUGCGAUAACGAGCGAGAUCUUAGCCUGCUAAAUAGUUACGCCAAACCUAGUUUGGUGGCCAACUUCUUAGAGGGACUGCAUACGUUAAGUAUGAGGAAGUUUGAGGCAAUAACA
Molecule: ribosomal RNA, 139 nt
Filed under: uncultured eukaryote
Lineage: Eukaryota
Description: partial 18S ribosomal RNA
Rfam family: Eukaryotic small subunit ribosomal RNA
Source: RNAcentral